Molecule: ribosomal RNA, 253 nt
Filed under: uncultured bacterium
Lineage: Bacteria
Description: partial 16S ribosomal RNA
Rfam family: Bacterial small subunit ribosomal RNA
Source: RNAcentral
UACGAAGGGGGCUAGCGUUGCUCGGAAUCACUGGGCGUAAAGGGUGCGCAGGCGGGGCUUUAAGUCAGGGGUGAAAUCCUGGAGCUCAACUCCAGAACUGCCUUUGAUACUGAGGAUCUUGAGUACGGGAGAGGUGAGUGGAACUGCGAGUGUAGAGGUGAAAUUCGUAGAUAUUCGCAAGAACACCAGUGGCGAAGGCGGCUCACUGGCCCGUAACUGACGCUGAGGCACGAAAGCGUGGGGAGCAAACAGG